CAUCUUUAAUAGGAUGUUACGAUUGUGUGAAUACAUAGCACAUUCGAGGUAGACGCAGAGAACUGAAACAUCUAAGUACCUGCAGGAAGAGAAAGAAAAUUCGAUUCCCUGAGUAGCGGCGAGCGAAACGGGAAAAGCCCAAACCAGCAAGCUUGCUUGUUGGGGUUGUAGGACUCCAAUAUGGUAGUUCUUUCAGAUAGUCGAAUGACUUGGAAAAGUCAGUCAAAGAGGGUAAAAACCCCGUAGACGAAAUGUGGAAGACACCUAGGAGGAUCCUGAGUACGGCGGAACACGAGAAAUUCCGUCGGAAUCCGGGAGGACCAUCUCCCAAGGCUAAAUACUCCCUAGUGACCGAUAGUGAACCAGUACCGUGAGGGAAAGGUGAAAAGCACCCCGGAAGGGGAGUGAAAUAGAACCUGAAACCGUGUGCCUACAACAAGUCAAAGCCCGUUAAUGGGUGAUGGCGUGCCUUUUGUAGAAUGAACCGGCGAGUUACGAUUGCAUGCGAGGUUAAGUUGAAGAGACGGAGCCGCAGCGAAAGCGAGUCUGAAUAGGGCGUUUGAGUAUGUAGUCGUAGACCCGAAACCAUGUGAUCUACCCAUGUCCAGGUUGAAGGUGCGGUAAAACGCACUGGAGGACCGAACCCACGUACGUUGAAAAGUGCGGGGAUGAGGUGUGGGUAGCGGAGAAAUUCCAAACGAACUUGGAGAUAGCUGGUUCUCUCCGAAAUAGCUUUAGGGCUAGCCUCGGAAUUGAGAAUGAUGGAGGUAGAGCACUGUUUGGACUAGGGGCCCAUCUCGGGUUACCGAAUUCAGAUAAACUCCGAAUGCCAUUCAUUCAUAUCCGGGAGUCAGACUGUGAGUGAUAAGAUCCAUAGUCGAAAGGGAAACAGCCCAGACCACCAGCUAAGGUCCCAAAAUAUAUGUUAAGUGGAAAAGGAUGUGGGGUUGCACAGACAACUAGGAUGUUGGCUUAGAAGCAGCCA
RNAcentral lists this ribosomal RNA (985 nucleotides) under Enterococcus faecium. Its description in RNAcentral is "bacterial LSU rRNA". It matches the Rfam family "Bacterial large subunit ribosomal RNA", at positions 132 to 1118 of the family's 2925-position model. Lineage: Bacteria; Bacillati; Bacillota; Bacilli; Lactobacillales; Enterococcaceae. The record is from RNAcentral.